UACAGAGGGUGCAAGCGUUGUUCGGAAUUAUUGGGCGUAAAGGGAGUGUAGGCGGUUUGCUAAGUCUUCUGUGAAAUCUACGGGCUCAGCCUGUAACGUGCAGAGGAAACUGACAGACUUGAGUGUCGGAGAGGAUAGUGGAAUUCCCAGUGUAGUGGUGAAAUACGUAGAGAUUGGGAAGAACACCAGUGGCGAAGGCGGCUAUCUGGACGGUUUCUGACGCUAAGACGCGAAAGCGUGGGGAGCAAACAGG
Molecule: ribosomal RNA, 253 nt
Filed under: uncultured bacterium
Lineage: Bacteria
Description: partial 16S ribosomal RNA
Rfam family: Bacterial small subunit ribosomal RNA
Source: RNAcentral